UGAAAAGCCCAAGAAUGGUGAACAUAAAGAGU
Molecule: non-coding RNA, 32 nt
Filed under: Mus musculus (house mouse)
Lineage: Eukaryota; Metazoa; Chordata; Mammalia; Rodentia; Muridae
Source: RNAcentral